Molecule: ribosomal RNA, 253 nt
Filed under: uncultured bacterium
Lineage: Bacteria
Description: partial 16S ribosomal RNA
Rfam family: Bacterial small subunit ribosomal RNA
Source: RNAcentral
UACAUGGGGUGCAAACGUUGCUCGGAAUCAUUGGGCGUAAAGCGCGCGUAGGCGGUUACUUAAGUUGGAUGUGAAAGCCCUCGGCUUAACUGAGGAAGUGCACCCGAAACUGAGUAGCUUGAGUACUAAAGAGGGUCGCGGAAUUCCCGGUGUAGAGGUGAAAUUCGUAGAUAUCGGGAGGAACACCGGUGGCGAAGGCGGCGACCUGGGUAGAGACUGACGCUGAGGCGCGAAAGCGUGGGGAGCAAACAGG